This 229-nucleotide ribosomal RNA is filed under the name uncultured bacterium. RNAcentral's name for it is "partial 16S ribosomal RNA". It matches the Rfam family "Bacterial small subunit ribosomal RNA", at positions 568 to 796 of the family's 1533-position model. The record is from RNAcentral.
UGCGUAGGCGGAAUAUUAAGUCAGUGGUGAAAUCCUGCGGCUCAACCGUAGAACUGCCAUUGAUACUGAUAUUCUUGAAUGUAGUUGAGGUAGGCGGAAUGUGUAAUGUAGCGGUGAAAUGCUUAGAUAUUACACAGAACACCGAUUGCGAAGGCAGCUUACUAAACUAUUAUUGACGCUGAGGCACGAAAGCGUGGGGAGCGAACAGGAUUAGAUACCCUGGUAGUCC